RNAcentral lists this unclassified non-coding RNA (178 nucleotides) under Glomus indicum. RNAcentral describes it as "partial internal transcribed spacer region". The stretch from base 1 to 46 matches the Rfam family "Eukaryotic small subunit ribosomal RNA", at positions 1786 to 1831 of the family's 1831-position model. The record is from RNAcentral. Lineage: Eukaryota; Fungi; Glomeromycota; Glomeromycetes; Glomerales; Glomeraceae. RNAcentral also lists the same sequence under 1 other name.
AAGUCGUAACAAGGUUUCCGUAGGUGAACCUGCGGAAGGAUCAUUACCAAUAUAGCGAACCGAGCGUUAGCGAGGCUUCGCGAUCAAAUUGUAUUUAAAACCCAACUCUUUAAAUGUAUAUUAUUAUUGUAUUCUAAAUAAUAAAAGAUCACUUUCAACAACGGAUCUCUUGGCUCUC